UACGGAGGGGGCUAGCGUUGUUCGGAAUUACUGGGCGUAAAGCGCACGUAGGCGGGUUCUUAAGUCAGGGGUGAAAUCCCGGAGCUCAACUCCGGAACUGCCUUUGAUACUGGGAAUCUUGAGUCCGGGAGAGGUGAGUGGAACUCCGAGUGUAGAGGUGAAAUUCGUAGAUAUUCGGAAGAACACCAGUGGCGAAGGCGGCUCACUGGCCCGGUACUGACGCUGAGGUGCGAAAGCGUGGGGAGCAAACAGG
Molecule: ribosomal RNA, 253 nt
Filed under: uncultured bacterium
Lineage: Bacteria
Description: partial 16S ribosomal RNA
Rfam family: Bacterial small subunit ribosomal RNA
Source: RNAcentral